AACGAACGCUGGCGGCAGGCCUAACACAUGCAAGUCGAACGCCCGUAGCAAUACGGGAGUGGCAGACGGGUGAGUAACGCGUGGGAACGUGCCCUUCGGUUCGGAAUAACUCAGGGAAACUUGAGCUAAUACCGGAUACGUCCGUAAGGAGAAAGAUUUAUCGCCGAAGGAUCGGCCCGCGUCGGAUUAGCUAGUUGGUGAGGUAACGGCCCACCAAGGCGACGAUCCGUAGCUGGUCUGAGAGGANGAUCAGCCACACUGGGACUGAGACACGGCCCAGACUCCUACGGGAGGCAGCAGUGGGGAAGUAUUGGACAAUGGGCGGAAAGACCUGAUCCAGCCAUGCCGCGUGAGUGAAGAAGGCCUUAGGGUUGUAAAGCUCUUUCAGCGGGAAGAUAAUGACGGUACCCGCAGAAGAAGCCCCGGCUAACUUCGUGCC
This 439-nucleotide ribosomal RNA is filed under the name uncultured bacterium. Its description in RNAcentral is "bacterial SSU rRNA". It matches the Rfam family "Bacterial small subunit ribosomal RNA", at positions 29 to 509 of the family's 1533-position model. The record is from RNAcentral.